RNAcentral lists this ribosomal RNA (465 nucleotides) under uncultured bacterium. Its description in RNAcentral is "partial 16S ribosomal RNA". It matches the Rfam family "Bacterial small subunit ribosomal RNA", at positions 28 to 507 of the family's 1533-position model. The record is from RNAcentral.
GACGAACGCUGGCGGCGUGCUUAACACAUGCAAGUCGAACGGAAAGGCCCCUUUGGGGGUCCUCGAGUGGCGAACGGGUGAGUAACACGUGAGUAACCUGCCCUUGACUUCGGGAUAACUUCAGGAAACUGGGGCUAAUACCGGAUAGGAAUCCUUGCUGCAUGGUGGGGGUUGGAAAGCUUCGGCGGUUUUGGAUGGACUCGCGGCUUAUCAGCUUGUUGGUGGGGUAGUGGCUUACCAAGGCUUUGACGGGUAGCCGGCCUGAGAGGGAGACCGGCCACAUUGGGACUGAGAUACGGCCCAGACGCCUAAGGGAGGAAGCAGGGGGGAAGAUUGAACAAUGGGCGGAAGCCUGAUGCAGCAACGCCGCGGGCGGGAUGACGGCCUUCGGGUUGUAAACCGCAUUCAGCAGGGGCGAAGCUUGUGGUGACGGUACCUGCAGAAGAAGCACCGGCUAACUACGUG